This 1567-nucleotide long non-coding RNA is filed under the name Homo sapiens (human). RNAcentral describes it as "HSALNT0218278". The record is from RNAcentral. Lineage: Eukaryota; Metazoa; Chordata; Mammalia; Primates; Hominidae.
GGAGCAGCGCCCUCAGGUGUCAAGGAGGGGACCUGAGUGACGCGGAGCCACUGACUGGGGUUUCCCUGUCCUGCGGGGCUCGCGGGAGCCAGGAGCAGAAGCCACAGCUCUCGAACACACGACAGGCAGUCAGUCAAGUCAGGCUCCAGCAGCAGUUGCCGGCGUGGGGCUUAACACGAGAGGGGCAGCGCUGGGUGAAUUCCCCUCCGAGCGAUCCCAGGGCUAGGACCAAGCGCCUGCGCCCGCUUCUCCGACCCGGCUCCCCACACUCCCCCCUGCCCCGCUGGCUCCUUCCCGGAGGUUCCCCUGACCCGCGUGCAUUGUUGGGCAAGGAGAAGACGGUGCAGUGAGGAGCGAGGGUGAUUGUCCACUUACAACAAAGUUUGCAACUCCCUGGAUAGUCCUUUCUACACCUUAAGAGAACCCCUUCCCCUCUUCAAAAUUGGUGUUCCAAGGCAAGAAGUUAUUUUCACCAGGGAAGCCUGUGAACAGAAAGAGCUCCUGAGACUACACCUGCUUUUAAUUUGGUGUCAGUAGGAACGAUGGAGAUGAAAACCUCAUCAAGACCAGCACGGAUUUGGGAAUCACCAAUAGAGUCAACCCCUCACUCUAAGAUGAGGAAACUAAGGCCCCCUAAGGUGAACUGUGAACUGAAUUGAUGAAAGCUGGGAUCAAAGCCCAGAUCUCUGGGCUCCUUGUCUGGUAUUUAUCUUCCCUGCUUUCUUCAUAAUUAAAUUCAGUGUAAUGACGCAGACGUAGAGCAAGAUCCUGGAGUGUCUUCUUAAUCAUCAAAUAUUGUCCUCUAUAAAGUUAUAAUGUUUAGUGAAUUUGCUGUAGUCUCAUUCUUUUAAAAAUGGCUAACACAUGUGUGAGAAUUCGCUAGUGACCACCUAGAGUGCUUGUUCCCUAAGGGAUUAUUGACUAUUCUUUAAAACUAUAACAACAGACAACAACAACAACAAAAAGGAAAAUAAAAUUAAGGUUGAGCUUAAUCACUUCACUCACUUAAGUACUUAUUACACGUAAAAGCAGUGUGUUGAGGAGGUUUUGGGAUUGGUGAAUCUCAUGUUGAGGUGGUUUUAGGAUAGCCCUUUACAAACAUAAAAUAUUAAAUUACUAAAUUGCAUGACUGUACUAGUCCAUUUUCACGCUGCUGAUAAAGACAUACCUGAGACUGGUCAAUUUACAAAAAAAAGGAAAAAAAAGGUUUAAUGGACUUACAGUUCCAGGUGGCUGGGGAGGCCUCACAAUCAUAACAGAAGGCAAGGAGAAGCAAGUCACGUCUUACAUGGAUGGCAGCAGGCAAAGAGAGAGAGUUGUGCAGGGAAAUUCUCGUUUUUAAAACCAUCAGAUCUCGUGAGAUUCAUUCACUAUCAUGAGAACAGCACAGGAAAGACCUGCCCCCACAAUUCAAUCCCCUCCCACCAGGUUCCUCCCAUGACACGUGGGGAUUGUGGGAGUUGCAAUUCAAGAUGAGAUUUAGGUGAGGACACAGCCAAACCAUUUCAAUGACUUACACAUUACUUCACAUUUUUCAUAUCCUUCCACUUCUUAGUUUCUACCACAA